GCAGUCGAACGCUGAAGCAUCUUCGGGUGUGGAUGAGUGGCGAACGGGUGAGUAACACGUGGGUAACCUGCCCUGUACUUUGGGAUAAGCCCUGGAAACGGGGUCUAAUACCGAAUAUGACUCGCUAAGGCAUCUUGGUGGGUGGAAAGUUUCGGCGGUACAGGAUGGGCCCGCGGCCUAUCAGCUUGUUGGUGGGGUAGUGGCCUACCAAGGCGACGACGGGUAGCCGGCCUGAGAGGGUGACCGGCCACACUGGGACUGAGACACGGCCCAGACUCCUACGGGAGGCAGCAGUGGGGAAUAUUGCACAAUGGGCGGAAGCCUGAUGCAGCGACGCCGCGUGAGGGAUGACGGCCUUCGGGUUGUAAACCUCUUUCGCCAGGGACGAAGCGUAAGUGACGGUACCUGGAGAAGAAGCACCGGCUAACUACGUGCCAGCAGCCGCGGUAAUACGUAGGGUGCAAGCGUUGUCCGGAAUUAUUGGGCGUAAAGAGCUCGUAGGCGGCUUGUCGCGUCUGCUGUGAAAAUCCGGGGCUUAACUCCGGACCUGCAGUGGAUACGGGCAGGCUUGAGUUCGGUAGGGGAGACUGGAAUUCCUGGUGUAGCGGUGAAAUGCGCAGAUAUCAGGAGGAACACCGGUGGCGAAGGCGGGUCUCUGGGCCGAUACUGACGCUGAGGAGCGAAAGCGUGGGGAGCGAACAGGAUUAGAUACCCUGGUAGUCCACGCUGUAAACGUUGGGCGCUAGGUGUGGGCGACUUCCACGUUGUCCGUGCCGUAGCUAACGCAU
This 788-nucleotide ribosomal RNA is filed under the name Amycolatopsis sp. RNAcentral describes it as "bacterial SSU rRNA". It matches the Rfam family "Bacterial small subunit ribosomal RNA", at positions 57 to 860 of the family's 1533-position model. The record is from RNAcentral. Lineage: Bacteria; Bacillati; Actinomycetota; Actinomycetes; Pseudonocardiales; Pseudonocardiaceae.